GCACAUGCCUGUAAUUCCAGUACUCAAGAGGCUGAGGCACGGGAAUCUCUUGCACCUAGGAGGCAGAGGUUGCAGUGAGCCGACUGUGCCACUGCACUCCAGCCUGGGUGACGGAGUGAGACUCUGUCUCAAAAAAAAAAAAGGAAAAAAAAUUUAGCUGGGUGUGGUAGUGCACACCUGUAGUCCCAGCUACUUGCGAGGCUGAGGUGGGAGGAUCACUUGAGACUGGGAGGUUGAGGCUGCAGUGAGCCAUGAUCGUACCAUUGCAUUCAUGAUCUGCCUGGGCGGCAGAGAAAGACCCCAUCUAUAAAUAAUAAUAAUAACAAAUGUUUUAUAUUGAUUACAUGUUGAAAUGAUAACUCUUUAGAUAUGAGUUAAAAUACAUUAUUAAAAUUAUCAUCUCCUUUUUUAACUUUGUUAAUGUGUCUACUAGAGAAUUAAAAUUUACAAAUGUGGCUCACAUUACAUUUCUUUUGGGCUAUGCUGAUAAAGAUCAGUUUGCUACUACCUAUGAUCAAUGUGCUGCAACCAUAAAUCCAUGUGGGACAAACAGUCUGAUUACUGUUCUAUCUUUCUGUCUUAUUGGAGUAACUGGGCCCACCUUGUCUCUGAUAGUCAAUCACUGUUUCUGAUUGUCACUGUGAGUUCCUAUUACUACAGUUAGUAUUACAGACUGUAAUGUAAUGGCAACAUCUCAUCUCACUGUCAUCCCUAGUCUUUAGAAGCUACCACAGAACUUUUCAAAGAUGCUGGUGUUCUUACUGAUGAAUUUUUAAAUAUUUUGUAAGGGAAGUGUCCUCUGUGCCUUAGGGGAUGGAUUCAGCAGAUUAUAUAAUAUAUAAUAGAUACAUUUCAAUUUCCCACCUCAACAAACUUCCAAUUCUUUGAUUCUUUCUACAAUAUGCUAGGGAAGUUCUGGCAUACUCAGCCUCAUUAGAUGUAGGGCAUUGUUAUAUCAAAGAGUGAAUUACUUAACCAGGCAAACUAUUAGAGCCAUUCCCAGCUGCUUAAGCUACAUCUUGAAUCCCAGGUGAAUUCACCUAUAUUGCCAAAUUUGAUCCAAUCCAGCUAGAUUUCAUCCUGCUUGGUCUACUACUCUUGGAAUCUAUUCCCAAACAUGUUCACCAGGUUUCUGCUAAUAUAACAAAAAGACAUUGUAAUUCUUUUGGAGUAUAACUAUGUCCUUCUGGAGAAGAUCUUUCAUUUUUUUCCUCUAGGCCAUAAGAUUUCUCCUGGCCCUGGAGGCAAUGAGAUAAGGUGGGGCUAGGUCUUUAGGACAAUAGACUGCCUCUUGCAAGGCAACUACCCUAUGUGAAAUAGAAAAGUCUAUGCAAGGGACUACUUUCUCCAGUAAGGGUAAUUCAGGGGCACUUAGGGGGCCAAUUAUCUCAGUUUGUUUGUUUGUUUGUUUGUUUGUGACAGAGUCUCACUCUGUCACCCAGGCUGGAGUGCAGUGGUGAGAUCUCAGCUCACUGCAACCUCUGCCUCCCAGGUGCAAGCAAUUCUUGUGUCUCAGCCUCCUGAGUAGCUGGGAUCACAGGUGCGUGCCAUCAUGCUCGGCUAAUUUUUGUAUUUUUAGUAGAGAUGGAGUUUCACCAUGUUGGCCAAGCUGGUCUCGAACACCUGGCCUCAAGCCAUCCACCCGACUCAGCUUCCGAAAGUGCUGGAGUUACAAGCUUGAGCCACUGCUCCCAGCCAGGAAUUUCAGUUUCAUUUGUUUCAUUCCAAAUGUCCUCUUCCCAAUCUCAGGGCCCAAUUCUAGCACAGACUAAUGUUAGAUAAGGUUGUACAUUUAAGAGGCUUUACAAAUCUUCAACCCCCACAAUUAUAUCUUAGGCGUGACCCACAGCUUUGUCUUCCCUGAGGCUUCAUGAGAUAAGGAAUUCCUAUAAGGCCUCCGUAGAAACUUUCCGGUUCUACACCCAUGUCUUGAGUUGCAAGUUCAAGGUUCAAAGCUUCUCUCUCUUUCUCUCUCUCUCUCUCUUUCAAACUCUCCAGCACAGUCAGAACUAGCCAGCCCAUCCUGUAAUUACUGUAAUCACCUCUGACUGUUGCCAUAACAGUGGUCACAUAAAACUGCACCUUCCACUAGCUCUCCAUCCUACAUCACCAUCAGUAAUAAUGUGAGUCAUCUUAAUGCUACUUCAUGCCACACCAUGUCCCAUUUCCAUCCACCAUAAGGUCAUUUAUGCCUUCAUUACAUAAGUGAGAAACCUAGUUCCCAAAUCUCAUUUUCAAGGUUGUUCCUAGGACCACUUCAGUUACCAACUAUUGCAUUAGUCAGGGUCUCAGCAGGAAGCAGCAUCUACACCAGAUGGUUUAGAUAAAGAUAUCUUAAUGAAGAGCUAUCACAGAGGCAUGAGCAAGGUUAAGGGGGCAAAUGUGGGAUGUUAAGGAACUAAUGGCUUAGCAACUGUGUGAAGCCAUCACUACUUCAAGGGCUGAGAGCAGAAGCAAAUAAUGUCACCAAAGGAAGAAGUCAGAUGUAGAGUCAUGAAGGAAGAGACACAGGGCAGGAGUUGCAGUCCAUGGAGGGUCACAGCCACCGCCAGAGAUGUAAUAUACAUGCAGGGAAGAACUACUCCAACCUCACUGCCAAAAACAAUCGGAAGCUGGAAGACAAAGGAGCCUAGGCAGUGCGUUCCAGAAAAAGGGCGAGUAUCCUGGGCCACAAGCAGCAUAAAGAAGGGCUGAGAAUGCAUUUCAGUAACCUGGUCCAGAGAGUCAGCCUUGAAGAACCUGCCUUGUGCUCCUGAGUGUGGAAGAUGUUGGCUGUUUGUGCUCCCCAUUAUCCAUAUCCUUUUAUGGAUGACAAUGAUUGGCCCAAAGAUGGAUCCAAGCUCCUCAGGAGGCUGAGGCAGGAGGACUGGUUGAGCCCAGGAAUUCAAGACCAGCCUGGAGAAAAUAGCAAGACCCUGUCUCAGUAAAUAAAUAAAUAAAUAAAUAAAUAAAUAAAUAAAUAAAUAAAUAAAUACGGUGGGCAUAUGACUCAAGUCAGGCCAAAAGGAGCCAAGAAAAGUCAAUUCCUAGAACUUCAUCAGAGUAAUAAUCAUCUGAAAAGAAUUUGGGGUAUGGCUUUUACUGCCAGAUUUCUAUAGAUGAAGCCAAGACUGAAGCCAACACAGAAGAAAGGCGAACUGAGACAUGACCCACGUCACAUCCCUAUAACAGGCUUGAGCCUUCAUCCAGCCAUAGCCACAUCCUGGCAGAUCCCUGGACUUUUUGUUACAUUCUAUAAGCCUGAGGAGUGAGUCCCAAGAUGGAAGAAACCUAUGUGAUGGCAGAGGGUGAGACGCCCCGGAGAAGAGGAAUAUAUCCCCUGGGAUGAGAGACAAGAUAAACGCUUGAAUCAACACACUCCUCCACAGAGAGUCCAUUUGCUUUCCCGACAAACUGCAUUGGAUUGGAUUUCACAGGCUGCUGAGGCAAUGCAAGGAGACAGCUUUCAGACUCCUGGAGAGAGGAGGCUGCAGGAGCGUGAUCAGGACAACAGCCACGUGGCCCAUGCUCUCCAGCAACACCCAAGGAGCCCAGGAUUCAGAGCAGGGCCGGUGGUGGGGAAAGCCCUGAACGAGAAUCCCACACUGGCUGCAUGACCUCAGAUGAGGCACCUUGACCCUGAAUCUCAGUUUCCCUACCUGUAAAAUAGGAUGAUAAUUUUUGCUGGUGUGGCAGAGUGGAAACUAAGUCUGGGAGUGUUUGGUUUGAUUAUUAGAAGAAACAGGCCAGGCACAGUGGCUCACGCCUGUAAUCCCAGCAUUUUGAGAGGCUGAGGUGGGUGGAUCACUUGAGGUCAGGAGUUCAAGACCAGCCUGGCCAACAUGGCGAAAUCCUGUCUCUACUAAAACUACAAAAACUAGCUGGGUGUGGUGGUGCACACCUGUAAUCCCAGAGUAGGCUGAGGCAGGAGAAUCGCUUGAACCUGGGAGGCAGAGAUUGCAGGGAGCCAAGAUGGCUCCACUGCAUUCCAGCCCAGGCGACGGGGUGAGACCCAGUCUCACAAAAAAGAAAAAGAAGGAGAAGAAGAAGAAGAAGAGGAAACUGCCCCAUAGAGUAGGCUUUUUCAGCCUCCUCUCCCUGGGUCCUCAUAUCAGCCCUGAUUGCCAGGAAGAAGAGAGGUGACGAUUUCCUCUCACAUAGUAAGGAAAUUGUGGCUCAGCGAUAAACUCCAGCUAGCUUGGGGAGUGAGAGGAAUGCCAGGAGUCAGUCGUGGGUGAUGGGCAGCGCCGGGCUCUCUAGGAGCUCCUGUGGUCGUCUGGCUUUAUCCCUCCUCAAAGAGCUGGGAGUAGGGGAGUGAGGCACUUGCCUCAGGCAUGCAAAAUGUAAGGGGGUGCCAAAAAACUCAGUGAUCAAGAUAAAUAAUAUCUUAAUGUGAUAUUUUUAAAAAUCAAAAUUGGUGCAAAAAAUCCAUAAUGAACAAAAUAUCUAAUUUUUAAAUAAAGAUAAGAUCAAUCCUUAUCUCAUAACACAAGCUGUCUCUUCUGCCUGAGCACAGAGGCAGGAAUGCCCUGGGAUGGAGGAAAUACUGCGUGGGACUCCAUAUUGGGGUUUUAUUCAUCUUGGCCUCUCAGUUCAGGGGGUGACUCUUUUUUUUCUCUGACCUCCAGCUUUCCCACCAGAGGCAGGAGAGCCAAGCAAUCUGCCCUUAGGCUCUGGAGUAAGGUAAAGCUGGAUGUUAAUCCCUGCUCCAUUACUUAUUAGCUAGGGGACCUUUGGAUAGUAGCUUGGAAUAGUGGCUUAACAUCCUGUAAACCUCAGUUUUCUUUCUUUUCUUUUUUUUUUUUUUUUUUUGAGAUGGAGCCUGGCUCUGUCACCCACGCUGGAGUGCAAUGGCGUGACCUCUGCUCACUGCGACUUCCGCCUCCCGGGUUCAAGUGAUUCUCCUGCCUCAGCCUCCUCAGUAGCUGGGAUUACGGGUGCGUGCCACCACGCCUGGCUAGUUUUUUGUAUUUUUAGCAGAGACAGGGUUUCACCAUGUUGGCCAGGCUUGUCUCAAACUCCUGACCUCAGGUGAUCCACCCACCUUGGCCUCCCAAAGUGCUGGGAUUACAGGCGUGAGCCUCCACGCUCGGCCUUAAACCUCAGUUUUCUAGUCUGUAAACCUCCAUUUUCUAAUCUGUACCUGCCUGGCUGGGUUACUGUGAAGAUUAAAUGAGAAAAUGUGCACAUGGCUUUUAACACAGGACCUCCGCCAUCAUAAGUGCUCAAUAAACAUUACUUACUGUUUUUACCUCUAAAUUAAGUAUCAUUGUCCUCAGUCCCAAAGUGAGACAAAUUAUAUGCUAAAGAGAUAUGAUAGCACCUAGAAGGAAGGAGAAAAAAAAUCAAGCACAGUGUCCCAUUCCACUGCUGGAAGCCACCAGGAAGACAGUACUAUCUACACAACUCUCUGUCUCCUAAAGGAAUUCUGGGCAUAGUCUGGGUGUUUCAGCCAGGCCCCUCCCAAGAGAAGUUCAAGGUUGAACCCAACCUGCUGGACCACAGGGAGUCUCCUAAUCCCAGCCACACAUUCCCCAGAGCAGGUGCCACAAGCCCAGAGACAAGUCACCAUGGGAAGGUGGAUGUCAGGGCAGCUGAGCCCUGAGGGUCUUGGUAAUGAAAAACUCCCCACCAACACUAUCACUGGUCCUGCUUCCCUUUUUGAAUUGGAUGCUAAGGAGCCUAGAGCUAAAUUUACAGCCCAUCUUUAGCAAGCACAUAAUACUUCACUUCAUACAUUUGGUGUGGAAACCUCCAUCUACAAUUCCUGCUGUUAUUUUCUGUUUGUCUCAUUUCCUCUCACUUGUUUUAAUGUACUUUACGCUGCCUUAAAUCCAUUUUGGAACAAGGUGGGGAAUAGAUAAAUACAUCCUAACUGUAUUUAAACAGCUUUCCAUUGUAUAUGUAUAUAUUCUUGUGUAUCUCUUUUCUAAAAAUUACUGCCUGCUGAUGCCUGCAAAUGGCUGUGUUUGCGUGUGCUAAUUGUGUAACUGACUGGAUUUAAAAUUGAGAGCUUUGAUGAGUACCCAGGAAGCAAGGAAACAGGGUGUUUUCAUUUUCAGUAUAAAAGGGAGGGUUGGGCCCAGGUGUCUGCCUUAAGAAUAGUCAGUUUAAGGCAAUGGUUCUCAACUGGGGCCAGUUUUCCCUCCCAGGGGGGCGCUUUUGGCAAUCUCUGGAGGCAUUUUUGGUUAUCACAACUUAGAGGGCAGGCAUCCGGCAUUGCUACUGGCAUCUAGCACGUAGAGGCCAGGGAUACUGCUAAACAUUCUACAAUGCACAGGACAGGCCCCUCAACCAAGAGGCACCCGGGCUAAAUCAUCAAUAGUGAUGAGGCUGAGAAACCCUGACUUCAAGGUAGAGGAGUUCUAGAAGGAAGAAGGAGCAGAGGCUUGCAGGUACCAAGGCUGCUCUGGGAACCCUCAGGGCAGCCUUCCUGAACCGGGCCAGGAAGAGGAAACAGUGGAGAGGGCCCCAGCUCCUCAGUUACCAGGAGAACCCGGAAUCUCUUACUGGGCCAUGAGAGAAACAAGAACAACUCAUGAAUGAAACAGAUUCCUCAGGUGUCCAGGAGGAGUGAGGCUUUUGUUGUCUAGGAAGGGGGAGCCUUUCAUCUGACACAAGAUAGCUUUUUUUUUUUUUUUUUUUUUUUUUUUUUAAGACAGGGUCUCACUCUGUCAUCCAGGCUGGAGUGCAAUGGUGCAAUGUAGGCUUACUGCAGCCUCAACCUCUGAGGACCAUCUGCUACACUCAGUCCACCAAUUCAAAUGCUAAUCUCUCUGGGGCCCAAGGGAUCCUCCUACCUCAGCCUCCUGAGUAGCUGAGAGCACAAGUGUGCACCGCCAUGCAUGGCUUAUUUAUUUAUUUAUUUUUGUAGAGAUGAGGGUUUUCCUGUGUUGCCCAGGCUAGUCUUGAACUCCUGGGCUGAAGCGAUUCUCCUGCCUUGGCUCCCCAAACUGCUGGGUUGAAGGUGUGAGCUGCUGCACUUGACCUCAGCAGCAGAUGUCUUCUAGUUGCCCCUGCUCCUCCUCCACUGAGAUCUCUGCCUCAAGAAGCUUCCAGUUUUGUUCAGCCCCAGCAGAGGAUAAGAAGGCAAAGAAAACUGAAGAAGGGACAUUGAUUUCCUGGCCCCUCUCCAUGGGGCUGCCUCAGGUCAGCUGAGUUCCUCCACUGAAGUCACAGCUCCUCUCAAAGGGUCCCUCUCCAUAAUAAUAUUUCCUUACAGACUCUGGUAAUGACUUAAUGUCAUCUUCUUUCAUCCUUCUAGGUUAGGGAUGGUCACAGCCCCCCAUUUGACUAGUGCUGGCAUAUUAUGCCAUGUCUCAUGGUUUCCCCAUAGCCUGCUGUAUUAGGAUUCUCCAGAGAAACAGAACCAAGAGGAGACAGAUAGAUAGAUAGAUAGAUAGAUAGAGAGAUAGAUAGGUAGAUAGAUAGAUAAUAGAUAAUUAGAUAGAUAUAUGAUAUAUUAUUAGAUAGAUGAUAUAGAUAGAUAUAUAAUUAGGUAGAUAGAUGAUAGAUACACAGAUGGACAGAUAGAUUACACAGAUACUAGAUAGGUAGAUAGAUGAUAGAAAGAUAAAUAGAUUACAUAGAUGAUAAAUAGAUGAGAUAGAUAGAGAGAUAGAUAGAUAAUAAUUAGAUAGAUAUAUGAUAUAUUAUUAGAUAGAUGAUAUAGAUAGAUAUAUAAUUAGGUAGAUAGAUGAUAGAUACACAGAUGGACAGAUAGAUUACACAGAUACUAGAUAGGUAGAUAGAUGAUAGAAAGAUAAAUAGAUUACAUAGAUGAUAAAUAGAUAUGAUAGAAAGAUAAAUAGAUUACAUAGAUGAUAAAUAGAUGAGAUAGAUAGAUAUAGAUAGAUAGAUAGAUAGAUAGAUAGAUAGAUAGAUAAUAGAUAGUGAUAUAGUUUGGCUGUGUCCCCACCCAAAUCUCAUCUUGAAUUGUAGCUCCCAUAAUCCCCACAUGUCAUGGGAGGGACCCAGUGCGAGGUAAUUGAAUCAUGGGAGUGGGUUUUUCUCAAGCUGUUCUUGUUAAUCAGUCUCACGAGAUCUGAUGGUUUAUAAAGGGUAGUUCCCUUGCACACUCUCUUUUGCCUGCCACCAUGUAAGAUGUGCCUUUGCUCCUCCUUUGCCUUCCACUAUGAUUUGAGGCCUCCCCAGCCAUGUGGAACCAUGAGUCCAUUAAAUCUCUUUUUCUUUAUAAAUUACCCAGUGUCAGGUAUUUCUUCAUAGCAGUAUGAAAAUGGACUAAUCCAGAUAGAUAGAUAGAUAGAUGAUAG
This 8252-nucleotide long non-coding RNA is filed under the name Homo sapiens (human). RNAcentral describes it as "HSALNT0020471". The record is from RNAcentral. Lineage: Eukaryota; Metazoa; Chordata; Mammalia; Primates; Hominidae.